GAUGAACGCUGGCGGCGUGCUUAACACAUGCAAGUCGAACGAUGAAGCCCAGCUUGCUGGGUGGAUUAGUGGCGAACGGGUGAGUAACACGUGAGUAACCUGCCCUUGACUCUGGGAUAAGCCCGGGAAACUGGGUCUAAUACCGGAUAGGAGCGCCUGUCGCAUGACGGGUGUUGGAAAGAUUUUUCGGUCAUGGAUGGACUCGCGGCCUAUCAGCUUGUUGGUGAGGUAAUGGCUCACCAAGGCGACGACGGGUAGCCGGCCUGAGAGGGUGACCGGCCACACUGGGACUGAGACACGGCCCAGACUCCUACGGGAGGCAGCAGUGGGGAAUAUUGCACAAUGGGCGGAAGCCUGAUGCAGCGACGCCCUCGUGAGGGAUGACGGGCCUUUCGGGUUGUACUACCUCUUUUCAAGUAAGGGAAAGAA
This 429-nucleotide ribosomal RNA is filed under the name Micrococcus sp. oral taxon F54. RNAcentral describes it as "bacterial SSU rRNA". It matches the Rfam family "Bacterial small subunit ribosomal RNA", at positions 28 to 453 of the family's 1533-position model. Lineage: Bacteria; Bacillati; Actinomycetota; Actinomycetes; Micrococcales; Micrococcaceae. The record is from RNAcentral.